Molecule: non-coding RNA, 1463 nt
Organism: Paramuricea clavata
Lineage: Eukaryota; Metazoa; Cnidaria; Anthozoa; Malacalcyonacea; Plexauridae
Source: the annotation of a GenBank genome assembly
UUAAGCCAUUUAAAGCAGGGAUGGAUCCAGUAUGAUCUGGUAGGGGGGGGGGGGUGCUCUGGUGCCGACUGCCGAGUUGUGUUGGUCAUGUGUGCCGCCCGCCCAUUGACUACUGUAUUUGAAUUGUAAUUGUUGUUCACAGUUCACAUAUCAUGUUAUUACUCAAAUUACUUUAUCUCAUUUUGUCUUUUUUUGCUUUAUCAUGAAAAAUAGCACCCCUCCCUGCACGGGUAGGGGGGUGCGUCAUCGUGUUAUUACUCAAAUUACUGUAUCUCAUUUUGUCUUUUUUGCUUUAUCAUGAAAAGUAGCACCCCCUGCACCCCCUCUGGCCAGGGCUAGGGGGUGUGCACCCCCAAUAAAUCCAUCCCUGAUUUAAAGCACUUGUAGUCAUGUUUUAUCAGAUAUAAAACGCUCGGCUGCGCCUCGCCUUUUAUAUCUGAAAAAACCCUCCUAAUGGUACUUGAAGAGAUCAAAACAGAGGUUUUUUUAUUGAGUGGAGUUCCACAUUGGUACCAGGGCAUUUUUAAACUAUAUAACUACUGGGGCAUUUACCCCAGUAGGCCCUUUGCUUGCCCCAGUAGUGAAGCAAGAUUUUCAGAUGAGCUGGGUCCUUUUGAUCAUCAGUAAAAAGUCGUGAUCUUGUUGACUGAAAGAUGCAUCUGGGGAGAUGUGGGUUUGAAACACUCCAGUUAGGUAGCCAGCAAAUGAUCUACUUCCAGUUGGAUAUAGGAAGCAAAGAAACUAAAAUAUCCAACAAACAAUGCUACGUUAACCGAAAAGAAAAGUUUAGUGUCUUAGUGUGCGGAAUUUUUUUUGAUGUAGAAAUGAAAACCCCUUCUCCAACCCCCCCCCCCACUCGCCAACAAUUUUGGGAAAAUAAAUAUUAAUCAGCCGGCAAAAUGUCACUUACGCCCCCCUCAUUCAAAUAGGACUAGCACCGCCCCUGAGCACAGAUAACUGUGUGGGAAAAAGGCCCGCAUCGAGACUUUGCCCCAGUAGAUGCAAUUUCUUAAAAAAUGCCCUGACUGGUACUGAACCAAACUAAACUCAAACAUUAUACUGAGAAACUUAAUGCAUAUUUUGAUGUUGAUAGACCAAAGACCUUUGUUGUAAGUGUCGUUCUUGCUUUUUAAAUUGUUUGAAAGUACAUUUUAGCAAAUUUUAAUGAUGUACAUAUAUAAUGUGAAUUGUUAAUUUAAAUAAUGUUGUAAUGUAGCAUGUCAGGCAGGACUUAAUUUAGGACUUUAUUUGCCCUGUUGCCUGUCCCUUCAAUUGUUAUAAUUGUAAAAUUAAUUAAAAAAAGGGUGAAAUAUAUUUCAACCAAUUUUUUCCCCGAAAAUCUGCUUGUGCUGAAUUUAUUUUUGUGGAGUUCUUUGAUUUCCACUUUACACAACCUUUUCUCUUUUGUUUUAAUUUGCGCGCAUUUUUUCCCACCCACCCAUUUUACACGAGGUUGGCGUGAC